UGACAGAUCUGCAUUAAGUUGAUUUCUUUUGGAUGCUGCAACAAAUUGACUCAGAGUAAGUUGGCCCAUGCCAACUUGCAUUAGCUGCUUUUCAGAGGGUGGAUGGUCAUUUGAUCCUGAAGAUUGAGAAGUAGUCACCGUAGUGGCAAAAUGGACAGCGUGGUUUCUUUCCCUACAGUUUCGCGAUGGGUUUUUUGGAGGAGUUUCACUGCUGGUACAUUGGAAAUGCAAACCAAAGGGAAUUGAAGCAUAAACUAGUUUUUCCAUGAAGAGAGAAGGACAAAAGGUAACCGCUACAAGGUAAUUGUAUACCUUUUCUCUACAAAGAAAUUUAUUUAGUGUGCACAAUUGUAUAGGAAGAAAUGUUUUGAAAUGAGAAAUAUUUUCAAGGAUCUAGGGUGUCAGCCUAAUUUAUUUAUUUUUUUUUUUUUCAAUUGUGUGCAUAUUAAAGUUUUCCAGAAAAAUCAUACCCGGUUAUAACUUAUAUGUAAUGAGCUCAAGAUGAUUUGUUUUUUUGCAACUCCAAUUGGUAUACCCUGAAUUUCACAUAAGUAAUGCGCUUAAUGCGCUGUCAAGAUAAGUAAUGCGUUGUCAACUUCUAGACUCUUAACUCCAAAAGUUAACUUCAGGUAACUCUUUUGGAUGAGGCUUUGGGCCGUUACUGAUGGUAUCUGAGUCCAACCCACCCCAUUCCUUAUACAGACUUACUGCCCAUGGUCAUGAUGAUGAUUUCUUGACAAUGAAUGGAAAGGGCACUGCUGCCCUCUCUGCACAAGGAGGGGAAAGAUCUGAUGCCCAUAAUCUUAUAUCCAGUGAUGCGCUUUGUAAGGCUUAAGAGUCCAGAAGUUAACUUUAGCUAGCAAAUUUGGAUGUGGCCUUGGAUUGUUACAUUGGGAUUCAUCGACUUGCUAAGGUUAUACAUUACAUCUAUUCUGAAGUCUGGAACUGUUUUAUUAUGGAGAUUUUUUCUCAGUUUCGCAUGCUGAUAAUUGUUGGAAAUGAAAAAAGCAUGGUAUAUUUUAUCCUAAUUUCAGUAUGCUUGCUGAUCCUCAGUAUGUUAUACAUGCUUUAUCCUACCAAAUGGAUUCUAUAACUAAUUUUUCUCUUACUGCUAAGCCUUCAAUAGUUAAAUUUUUCUUUGCCUGGGAGUCCCUCUUUCGCUCAUACAAUAAACUCAAUAUCGGUGUCUGCAGAAGAGGUGAGAGUCAUAUCAGUGCUGUUGGUCUAGUUUGUGACAGUAAUGAAGGAUGGACCACAGGGGUUUGCUGGUAAUCUUGGCAUGGGAGAGGUACUAACUGAAAAUGCUGAGGGUUUGUCUUAUAGCCUCCAUUUAGCCGGGAAUAAGGUUAUUAAGAAGCUGAAAAAUGAAAUAGCUUCAGCAAUAUAUAGAAGUUACUUUGAUGAUCAAAGUUUAGAAGUAGAAAAAAGAAAUAAUGUAAAUAUUGAUUAUGAAUUUGUGAAGAUACAUCUAAUAAUUGGUAAAGCCAAAAUGAAAUUCACCUCACAAUUUUUCUGUAGUUCCUUCGAAAGAUUUCCACUUUUGUAUUUGGUCAAUAGAUUUUCACUUUUGUUUUUGGUCAAUAGAUUUCCACUUUUCUUUAUGGUCACUAGUUUUCCACUUUUAAUUUACAAUGAAGUUUUAUUUUCUCUUUAUUAUGUUGAAAAUUAGUUUCACUAAUAUGGCUCGACAGUUUACUUCACAUUGGGAGUGAAUGAUUACAAUCUAAAACACGUAGUUUCUUCUAUAAAUCCAGUUUCCAGGUAAAGAAAAGGAAAAAACUUUGUUUACACAAUCAAUUGAAAUGUUGAUGCCUGUAAAAGAAUAGUAAGCAGAAACAUUAUAUAAGUGACAACAAUAACUUCUUUUUUUGCUCCUUUUGGCAGUUCAAGACAUGAAUGCAGGAUUUUAAAGAAGACAAUAUUUUUGCUAUGGCACUGGCUGGUUCACUUUGCAUACCUUGCCUUAUAACCCAU
Molecule: long non-coding RNA, 1974 nt
Filed under: Malus domestica (apple)
Lineage: Eukaryota; Viridiplantae; Streptophyta; Magnoliopsida; Rosales; Rosaceae
Description: long non-coding RNA (MDOM_LNC019928)
Source: RNAcentral